UGGGGAAUUUUCCGCAAUGGGCGAAAGCCCGACGGAGCAAUGCCGCGUGGAGGUGGAAGGCCUACGGGUCGUCAACUUCUUUUCUCGGAGAAGAAACAAUGACGGUAUCUGAGGAAUAAGCAUCGGCUAACUCUGUGCCAA
RNAcentral lists this ribosomal RNA (141 nucleotides) under uncultured bacterium. Its description in RNAcentral is "partial 16S rRNA". It matches the Rfam family "Bacterial small subunit ribosomal RNA", at positions 355 to 511 of the family's 1533-position model. The record is from RNAcentral.